GAUGAACGCUGGCGGCGUGCUUAACACAUGCAAGUUGAACGAAGUGGCGGAUGGGCGAGUAACACGUGAGGAACCUGCCUUUCACAGGGGAAUAACACUGGGAAACCAGUGCUAAUCCCGCAUACUAUCGGAUGAACCCAUAUGGGAUUAGCUAGUUGGUGAGGUAAUGGCUCACCAAGGCGACGAUCCUUAGCUGGUCUGAAGGAUGAUCAGCCACACUGGGACUGAGACACGGCCCAGACUCCUACGGGAGGCAGCAGUGGGGAAUAUUGCACAAUGGCGCAAGCCUGAUGCAGCCAUGCCGCGUGUAUGAAGAAGGCCCUAGGGUUGUAAACCUCUUUCCAUCGAACAGGGUAGGUGGAGAAGAAGCGCCGGCUAACUACGUGCCAGCAGCCGCGGUAAUUC
This 405-nucleotide ribosomal RNA is filed under the name uncultured bacterium. Its description in RNAcentral is "partial 16S ribosomal RNA". It matches the Rfam family "Bacterial small subunit ribosomal RNA", at positions 28 to 526 of the family's 1533-position model. The record is from RNAcentral.